RNAcentral lists this ribosomal RNA (273 nucleotides) under uncultured bacterium. RNAcentral describes it as "partial 16S ribosomal RNA". It matches the Rfam family "Bacterial small subunit ribosomal RNA", at positions 524 to 796 of the family's 1533-position model. The record is from RNAcentral.
GACAGAGGGUGCAAGCGUUGUUCGGAAUUAUUGGGCGUAAAGGGCGCGUAGGCGGUUUGGUAAGUCGAAUGUGAAAGCCCAGGGCUCAACCUUGGAAGUGCAUCCGAAACUGCUAAACUAGAAUCCUGGAGAGGGUGGUGGAAUUCCCAGUGUAGAGGUGAAAUUCGUAGAUAUUGGGAGGAACACCGGUGGCGAAGGCGACCGCCUGGACAGAGAUUGACGCUGAGGCGCGAGAGCGUGGGGAGCAAACAGGAUUAGAAACCCGCGUAGUCC